Molecule: small nucleolar RNA, 128 nt
Organism: Otolemur garnettii (small-eared galago)
Lineage: Eukaryota; Metazoa; Chordata; Mammalia; Primates; Galagidae
Source: Ensembl
AGCCUGACACAUAGUCAACCCUCAAUCAAGAAGUGUUGACUGACACAAACAGGUACAAAAAAAAUCCUCUUUUGCAACACAGAAGUCGUCAUUCAGUAAGAGUUUCAAUACAUCUAAGAAGGAAUAUU